RNAcentral lists this ribosomal RNA (433 nucleotides) under uncultured bacterium. RNAcentral describes it as "partial 16S ribosomal RNA". It matches the Rfam family "Bacterial small subunit ribosomal RNA", at positions 29 to 507 of the family's 1533-position model. The record is from RNAcentral.
AACGAACGCUGGCGGCAUGCCUAACACAUGCAAGUCGAACGAGACCUUCGGGUCUUGUGGCGCACGGGUGCGUAACGCGUGGGAACCUGCCCUUAGGUUCGGCAUAACUCUCCGAAAGGGGUGCUAAUACCGGAUCAUGUCUUCGGCCCAAAGAUUUAUCGCCUUUGGUUGGGCCCGCGUUGGAUUAGCUAGUUGGUAGGGUAAUAGACUACCACGGCGACGAUGCAUAGCUGGGCAGAGAGGCUGAUCAGCGACACUGGGACUGAGCCCCGGCCCAGACUCCUACGGGAGGGAGCAGUGGGGAAUAUAGGACAAUGGGGGGAGGCCUGAUGCAGCAAGGCCGCGAGAGUGAUGAAGGCAGGAGGGUUGUAAAGCGCUUGUACCCGGGAUGAUAAUGACGGUACCGGGAGAAUAAGCCCCGGCUAACUCCGUG